Sphaerodactylus townsendi is the source of this 514-nucleotide long non-coding RNA. RefSeq lists it as uncharacterized. The transcript has 3 exons. NCBI's taxonomy places the organism in Eukaryota, Metazoa, Chordata, Lepidosauria, Squamata, Sphaerodactylidae. The record is from RefSeq and is a predicted model, not a curated record.
CCCGAACGACUCCCCCACCCUUAGUGAGAAAGGAAGAACUGCUGGAGGAGGAGGAGGAUAAAUCCCCAGUACGCCGCUGGGGCUGCAGGAGGCGGAAAAGAAAUCAUUUUUUUCUUGAAACAAGAAGGUCAUUGGCCUGGAUCGCAUAAACCGCAUCAUCUCCAGUGACAACAGAACAGUCAGUAUGGAAAGCUUGAAAGUAGUAUUUGCUCAUGUGAGUGUGAAGGUCCAUAUGGUGAUCCAAAGAGGAGUCCAUAUGUCCCUGUGAUGGUUUAAAGAGAGCAAACCAAGUCUAUCAGCAUCCAGAGCAAAGACCAAGACCAGCAGAGCUGUGAGGAAGCAAGAGACAGUGUUCCAACUGAAAGAAGCCAGAAAAGGACACAGUUUGAAGCUCCCACCAUCAGAAGUCAAGCAAAUAACCCCCUUAGUCAGAGCCAGGGUGGAGUUAGAGGCUUGUCUUCCUCUGUUAAUAAAGCCUUUAUUAGAACUGUUAAGACUGGCUUGUGUCUCAACC